UACGAAGGUCCCAAGCGUUAUCCGGAUUUAUUGGGCUUAAAGGGUGCGUAGGCGGGCUAUUAAGUCAGUGGUGAAAGCCUCAAGCUUAACUUGAGAAUUGCCAUUGAUACUGAUGACCUUGAGUACAUUUGAAGUGGGCGGAAUGUGUCAUGUAGCGGUGAAAUGCUUAGAUAUGACACAGAACACCGAUUGCGUAGGCAGCUCACUAAGCUGUAACUGACGCUGAGGCACGAAAGCGUGGGGAGCAAACAGG
Molecule: ribosomal RNA, 253 nt
Filed under: uncultured bacterium
Lineage: Bacteria
Description: partial 16S ribosomal RNA
Rfam family: Bacterial small subunit ribosomal RNA
Source: RNAcentral